CGCAGCCGCGGUAAUUCCAGCUCCAAUAGCGUAUAUUAAAGUUGUUGCAGUUAAAAAGCUCGUAGUUGAAUUUCGGGAUUGACGUGAUGGUCAUGCCUUAAGGGGUAUGAACUGUUACUGUUGAUUUCUCACCUUCUGGAGAAACUUGAUGUCCUUUAUUGGGUGUCUUGCGGAUCCAGGACCUUUACCUUGAAAAAUUAGAGUGUUUAAAGCAGGCAUUUUUGCUCGAAUACAUUAGCAUGGAAUAAUAGAAUAGGACGGCAUGGUUCUAUUUUGUUGGUUUCUAGGACCACCGUAAUGAUUAAUAGGGAUAGUUGGGGGCAUUAGUAUUCAAUUGUCAGAGGUGAAAUUCUUGGAUUUAUUGAAGACUAACUACUGCGAAAGCAUUUGCCAAGGAUGUUUUCAUUAAUCAAGAACGAAAGUUAGGGGAUCGAAGACGAUCAGAUACCGUCGUAGUCUUGACCAUAAACUAUGCCGACUAGGAAUCAGACGAUGUUAAUUUUUAAUGUACUCGUUUGGC
This 520-nucleotide unclassified non-coding RNA is filed under the name uncultured Entrophospora. Its description in RNAcentral is "SSU rRNA". It matches the Rfam family "Eukaryotic small subunit ribosomal RNA", at positions 569 to 1084 of the family's 1831-position model. The record is from RNAcentral. Lineage: Eukaryota; Fungi; Glomeromycota; Glomeromycetes; Entrophosporales; Entrophosporaceae.